CAUGAUGAAUAUUUCGUCUGAGGCACUUGGCUAAAGAGAAUUCAUAACCAUUUAUCACCAACUUAAAACAGCUGUUUCAUUAAUACUUCUUUUUUUAUUAUUUAGGGGUUUCUUUUAUUGUUGCUUCUUAAAAUUUACAUUACUGUGUUGAUGCUUACAGAGAACAGCAGCUUUAGAACGAUCUCUUAGAGUCGGAAAUGAUUGGAAGAAGCUGAUAAAAAGAGGGGUAAACAUGCUGAAUGAGCCCCACUAUCAGGUCCUACAGAUAUAUAAUAUUCCCACAUCAAUACUAGUUUAGCCUAUAGUCGAUCUAACAUAUGUUCUAUGGUUUUAGUUAUGCUAGGUGGAUUGUGGGGUUGCACAUGGAGAAGAGAUGGAGCAUCUUAACACUAUUGAUAGCAUAUUAAUUAAGUUCUAGAAGGAUGAUGGCAAAGAAGAUGAAUCUGUUAACCCAUCUAAUGUAAUUAUCAUAGAGCAUUAUAUCAAUUAUUAUUUUCUUGGCUCAUGAUUAUGUCAGAUAAUUUCAUCAUUAUUGCAUUGAAACUAUGGCAUACCUAUCUCUUUAUUGUAGUGCCCAUCCAGGAAUGGACAAAAUACAUGCGAUAUCCCUAUCAUAUAUACUGGAAACCUCUCAAUGAAAUUCAAACUGACUAAUUUGCAACACAAUUAACUUUUCAUCUGGCUUUGCAGCUGGAACAGUCUUAAAUAAAUGCCAUUAGCAGCAACUAAUGUUGCAUGUUUUCCCAUCUCAACCACCUUACCCUUGUCCAUUACCACAAUUACAUCAGAACUAACCACUGUAGAAAGCCUAUGAGCAACUGUAAUUUGAGUGAUUCUUUGCCUACCCCAUUUAUUUGAUCCUAAAGAACUCAUGACUUUUCUUUCAGAUUCUCCAUCCAGUGCACUGGUAGGUUCAUCUAGCAGCAGUAUUGCAGGCCUCUUCAGUAGAGUUCGUGCAAUUGCUAUUCGCUGCUUUUGUCCACCAGAAAGCUGGCAACCCUUUUCGCCCACGAUGGUGUCAUAUCCAUUUGGCAAGCUGCUUACGAAUUCAUGAAUAUUUGCCUCAAUUGCAGCCUCAAGUAUUUCAGUUUCUGAAGCAUCCUCAUGCCCAUAGCAGAUAUUGUCUCUAAUUGAGGAACUAAAAAGUAGUGGCUCUUGCUGCACCAACCCUAUUUGCUUUCUUAACCAUCGUAGGUUGUAAUUUCUUAUUUCCUUUUUAUCAACUAGAAUCCUUCCUUUAUCAGGAUCAUAGAACCUCAACAGAAGGGCUAAAACAGAGGACUUUCCUGCACCACUGGGCCCAACAAGGGCCACCUUCUGUCCAGAUUCAAUAAUUAAACUGAAAUUAUCUAGAAUAACAACUUCUGGCCUUGAUGGAUAGUUGAAACUAACCUCUUCAAAUUCUAUUCUGCCUACAAUUCUUUCAAGGCUCAUAUUUUCUGGUGCAUCUGGUACAAUUUCAGUUUUCCUAUCAAGGAUCUGGAAUGCAGGUGUUAGUAUGUUGAUGGCAGAGAUGACUGUGGGUAUCAAAGUCCAUAGCUCAGUGAUUGAAGGGACCGUGAGUGAAAAAAUCUGGUAUGAUCUUAUUCCAUUUUCAAAAGUUGCCUGUCUCUUAUCAACCAACACUGUAGUAUACCACAAGGCAACAGCAUGUGCAAUAUUCCACAAGCAAAGUGAUGCCCCUUGAAUCGUUCCAUACUUGAUACUCUCUAUCCUGCUGAUCCGCAUUGGUUCUCUUAAUGAGAGCUUGGCUUUCUUGAGUAUCUGUUCUUCAUGUACGAAGGAGGCCACAGUUCUGAUGUUGCUUGCUGAUUCUGAUGCAAGGGCAACAAGUUCUCGGUGAGCAACAGCGAAGUCACCCGAGAAUCCUUUGGCUGAUUUGGCUUGAAUAAGACCACCAAUGAAAUGGCAAGGCAUAACAGCCCAAGCUACCAAACCCAUUCGCCAGUUAACAAUCAUACUUACGAUGGUUGCAAUUAGAAUUGAAGAGAUGCAUUGGACGAUAACAGACAUCCGAUCAGAUAUGAUGGUCUUGAUCAUGGAUGUGUCACCAACAAUGUGUGAAGAAAGGAAGCCCACACUAUUCUCAGAUUUUUCAAACCAAGCUAUCUCGUUGCGCAGAACAGCUGCAUAAUUAGCAGGAAAUAUUUUAAACUACACUUGCACAAAGAGUGAACCAACUAUUUCAAUUGCUUAGAAAGGCAUUACAUAUUCUUUAGAAAAAUGAAUGUUACGCAUGCAUGCAUCAUAUGUAAGCUUCUUUUGUGUGGAAUCCUUUUAAAAUUAUGCUAUCAAGGAGUUAAUAUUAAUCAUAACAGUUUGUGAGAUAUGUAUUAUUAUGCUUGACUGGAGCUUAGUUAUAGCGUUUGUAAAGAAUUACUAUUUCUUAUGUCUUUUAUGUGAAUUUGAGCUUGACAAUUUGCAAAUUAAAACCGUAUGAUGCUAGGUUUAACACUGUAUCUGUACCUUUCCUGUGCCUGAGUUUAUAGAUCAAAAUUCUCUAAGAGAUUGGGGAAAAAAUUAAGGAUGUUGUAAAGAUGUUUCUAAGUGAAUGACACAUUAAAUUACACUAAGUUUGAGUUGCUAGAUCUGUAAUGGUCUUUUAAUGAUGCUCUGUCCCAUGGUGAUUUGCAAUUUUAGUCAGUUACUUGCCAAAAGAUGCAUUUGAAAUACUUGUUUGGAUGUGAGGCUUUGAUAAUCAAAUAGCAGGUUCAUGUAGCUUUCUAACAUAAAAUUGCUAUUUUAUUGAAAUAUUCAACAGAGUUUUGUGAUAUGGGUGUACAGUGACUUAACAUAGGCAGCAUGGUAAAGGUGAGACAAGGUACCUGAAAACAGAGUCUCCCUGAGGUUUCUCAUGGCUGUUUCCCCAACCACACCAUAGAAAAAAUGUUGCAAUGUGUGAGUAAUUAAUGUUAGAAGUCCAACAAGACAAAAUAUUCCCGAAUACCACCCUACUCUCCUCCUGGCGUCAUGCUUGUAGUAUGCUACUCCAAUUGUCAUGAUGAAAAAUCCAAACAGUGGCUUAGAAAUACCAGAGACAGCUGCUGCAAAAGAACCUACAACAGUCUUUGCGAGCUCAAGCUUGUUCAAUCCAAACCAGAUUCUGAAGAAGGGAACUGCCUUUCUUUUGAUUUUUUGUAUUUCUUUGUCUGGAGGUUCGCUCAACUGAUCUUGCUGUUCUUUAGAUGCUUCAAGGAUAUCAGGAGCUUGUGAAUAACAACUAUUCUGAAUAGUCUCUGGUGCUUCUUCUGUAUGAUCUAUAUCCCUGGUUUAAACAAUUAAAAGAAAAUCAUAAUGUUACCUUUGUACAUUUGUGUCCAUGCUUUUAUUUAAAUUCAAAUUCUUUUAUUUCUUCAAUUUCCUGAAUCUACUACCUUGUCCCAAGGAAAAUUAUCAAGGCCAGGUCUAGUUUGUUUAUCCAACCAUGUUAAACAUAUUUCUGCAUGCAACUUGUCUUUUAUUGCCUAAAUCUUCUCAGCUUUGAUGACAAAAAGUAAAGUUUACUUUCUCUUGUAAUGGUAGCCCAGACAGGUUUUCUCCUUAUCUAUUUAUGAUACCACCUACCUUGAUCCACUGUCUCCAGUGUCUGUCUUCAGAUUCUGCAUGCCAAAUAAGUUGCAGUAGAACUUGCUGCUUUCUAGCAAUUCUUGGUGAGUUCCAGUCUGUGCCACAGUUCCAUUCUCAACCACAGCUAUGAUAUCGGAGUUGAUGACUGUUGACAUUCUGUGGGCUAUCAAAAUCACAGUUCUUCCUUGCAUAGCUCUCUCAAGGGCAUCUUGAACCAGCUUUUCAGACCCUGAAUCAAGUGCACUUGUGGCCUCAUCAAGCAGAAGAAUUGGAGGAUCUUUGAGAAUAGCUCUUGCGAUAGCUAUUCUCUGUUUCUGCCCACCUGAUAAUUGUACUCCUCUCUCACCUGCCUGAACUCAUUAAGUCAAACAUUGGUUGCCUAGAAAAAUAAAUAAGAUGAAUAGCAAGGAAACCUAGUUGUGUGCGUGCUGAUAAAUGGUUCUUUGCUAUAUAAAAGAUUAGGUGAUUCAACUAGGAGGAUAAUGGGAUUUUUAUGGAGGAUUAGUGCAGGAUGCAAAUUUUCUUUGUGAGGGACCUACUAUUGAUAUUUGCUUCCUCUCCAACUUCGUUACAUAAUAAAUAGGGCAUGGCACAGGCUAUCCAUUGGUUAUUCAUGUUUAACUGUCUUAUCUCCUUCAUUCUAUGAACAGUUUCAGAGGACUUCAACUUUCUGAGUUUCUUUAAGGACAAUAAUCACUGCUAAGUAAAAUGAUCUAGUUUGUUGGAUCAAAUUGCUGGCAAUGAGACCUACUUCUCUCCAUUAUUGAUCCAGUGCUCUCAACCCAAGAAUCCCAAGGCUCCCUCCUUAGUCCUUAGUGGAGCUUUCUGUGGCUCAUACUGCAUAAAAUUAGACCAUCUCAAACUAUUUUCCUCAAGAGUUACUCUAGAGGAAUCACCACACUAUAGUAAAAUGCAUACUAUCAACCAUAUGUCGCCAUGCUUAACUUUGUAGAUCAAUCCACUUUGUAAAUUUUAAUUGUCAAAAUUUGUUAUCCUGACUUUCACUAGUAAUUUAAUAUUGACGUUACAGGAUAUGUGGAAGUAACGGUCAAGUGUCAAUUAGUUUUCUUCAUUUCAAAUCCUAAUAUUGCUCAGAAGAAAUUAGCUUUAUUUAUGGCAAUGUUUAGAAUCUUACCUCGGUGGAGUAUUUGUCUGGAAGUUGGGAUAUGAAUAAGUGUGCAUUUGCUGUUGAUGUGGCUCUCUCUAUCUGUUCAUCACUUGCAUCCAUGUUCCCAAUUUUCAGAUUAUCUUUGAUGGUGCCCGAAAAGAGUGAUGGCUCUUGUGGAACUGCUGCUAUGUUCCUCCUAAGGAAUUUCAGAUCCAAAUCCUUGAUGUUGUGACCAUCUAUGAAAAUCUCACCUGCAACCUUAGCUGACUGUUUUAGCUCUUGCAGAAAACAUACAAUCCCCAUAGUAUAAAUCAAAAUUGUCCUCUUAAAAUAAGUGCAUGCAUUUUUCUUUUUUAUUCACGAGUUUAUACUUUUUGUGCCUAAAUCAUUUACACAUAUACACAGUUUUAUUUAUCUUUUUUACUUGUUGCAUAUUCAAUCAAGGGUACACUUAUAUUCCUUUUAUAAAGGACAUGGAUUUCUUUGUGAGCAUAAAGAACACAUCUCAUUCCUUAACUUGGGAAUGAGGCCUCUGUCCUUGGAAACUAUGCUUGGCUUUUCUCUGAUGUACUAAUGUUUAAAGAUUAUGUAGGCAGCAGCAAACCUGUGGUUGGAUCAUAGAACCGCUGAAUUAAGGAAAUCACAGUGCUUUUCCCACAUCCACUGUUACCCACUAAAGCAACCACUCUGCCUGCUGGUAUGGACAGUGAAAAACCUUGAAGGAUAAGAUUAUCCUCACGGGACGGGUAAGAAAAAUGCACUCCUUUUAUGUCUAUUUCUCCAACAAUGUUCUCUAAUGUUUUUCCUUUAUUUUCAUAACUUAUGCCUGGCUUCCUUUCAAUCACCUUGAAAACUUCAUGUCCUGCAGCUUUUGCCCGAUUAAAGAUCUCAAGGUCAGGUGCAGCAUAAGUGAUUGAUCUGCAUCUCAAUAAGAAAACCAAACCUCUUAGUUUUUGGAAACUAUAUAAUGAUGAUCAUAUCCAAGAUGAAAAGGAAGUCUCUUAGAAUAUUUACAUUG
Molecule: long non-coding RNA, 5693 nt
Filed under: Elaeis guineensis (African oil palm)
Lineage: Eukaryota; Viridiplantae; Streptophyta; Magnoliopsida; Arecales; Arecaceae
Description: long non-coding RNA (EGUI_LNC024663)
Source: RNAcentral